CAGACUUUUCCUAGUCCCUGAGACCCUAACUUGUGAGGUUUUUAGUAACAAUCACAAGUCAGGCUCUUGGGACCUAGGCGGAGGGGAACC
Molecule: microRNA precursor, 90 nt
Filed under: Anolis carolinensis (green anole)
Lineage: Eukaryota; Metazoa; Chordata; Lepidosauria; Squamata; Anolidae
Description: microRNA aca-mir-125b precursor (aca-mir-125b-2)
Gene: aca-mir-125b-2
Rfam family: lin-4 microRNA precursor family (bases 9-78)
About the family: The extents of the hairpin precursors are not generally known and are estimated based on hairpin prediction.
Source: miRBase by way of RNAcentral